This 215-nucleotide ribosomal RNA is filed under the name uncultured bacterium. RNAcentral's name for it is "partial 16S ribosomal RNA". It matches the Rfam family "Bacterial small subunit ribosomal RNA", at positions 118 to 334 of the family's 1533-position model. The record is from RNAcentral.
UGAGCAACCUGCCCUUGACAUUGGAAUAACAGUUGGAAACAGCUGCUAAUACCGGGUAUGACACGUCCUCGCAUGGGGGUGUGUGGAAAGCCUUGGCGGUCAAGGAUGGGCUCGCGGCCUAUCAGCUAGUUGGUGAGGUAAUGGCUCACCAAGGCUUCGACGGGUAGCCGGCCUGAGAGGGCGACCGGCCACACUGGGACUGAGAUACGGCCCAG